This 483-nucleotide ribosomal RNA is filed under the name uncultured bacterium. Its description in RNAcentral is "partial 16S ribosomal RNA". It matches the Rfam family "Bacterial small subunit ribosomal RNA", at positions 899 to 1397 of the family's 1533-position model. The record is from RNAcentral.
ACUCAAAUGAAUUGACGGGGACCUGCACAAGCAGCGGAGCGUGUGGUUUAAUUCGAAGCAACGCGAAGAACCUUACCAGGGUUUGACAUGGUCUUGACAAACGCAGAGAUGCGUCUCCCUUCGGGGCAAGAGCACAGGUGCUGCAUGGCUGUCGUCAGCUCGUGCCGUGAGGUGUUGGGUUAAGUCCCGCAACGAGCGCAACCCCCAUGCUCGGUUGCAGGUUUCCGAGCAGACUGCCACGCUAAACGUGGAGGAAGGUGGGGAUGACGUCAAGUCAGCACGGCCCUUACAUCCUGGGCGACACACACGCUACAAUGGCCGAGACAAAGGGUUGCCAACCCGCGAGGGGGAGCUAAUCCCGGCAAACUCGGUCUCAGUUCAGAUUGCAGGCUGCAACCCGCCUGCAUGAAGGAGGAGUUGCUAGUAACCGUGGGUCAGCACACCACGGUGAAUACGUUCCCAGGUCUUGUACACACCGCCCGU